Molecule: ribosomal RNA, 465 nt
Filed under: uncultured Klebsiella sp.
Lineage: Bacteria; Pseudomonadati; Pseudomonadota; Gammaproteobacteria; Enterobacterales; Enterobacteriaceae
Description: bacterial SSU rRNA
Rfam family: Bacterial small subunit ribosomal RNA
Source: RNAcentral
CCUACGGGUGGCUGCAGUGGGGAAUAUUGCACAAUGGGCGCAAGCCUGAUGCAGCCAUGCCGCGUGUGUGAAGAAGGCCUUCGGGUUGUAAGGCACUUUCAGCGGGGAGGAAGGCGGUGAGGUUAAUAACCUCAUCGAUUGACGUUACCCGCAGAAGAAGCACCGGCUAACUCCGUGCCAGCAGCCGCGGUAAUACGGAGGGUGCAAGCGUUAAUCGGAAUUACUGGGCAUAAAGCGCACGCAGGCGGUCUGUCAAGUCGGAUGUGAAAUCCCCGGGCUCAACCUGGGAACUGCAUUCGAAACUGGCAGGCUAGAGUCUUGUAGAGGGGGGUAGAAUUCCAGGUGUAGCGGUGAAAUGCGUAGAGAUCUGGAGGAAUACCGGUGGCGAAGGCGGCCCCCUGGACAAAGACUGACGCUCAGGUGCGAAAGCGUGGGGAGCAAACAGGAUUAGAUACCCGAGUAGUC